AUGGCCAUCCCUGACGGCUCGGUCGACUUCUUCGUCUGGCUAGAUACUGCUCUCCUAGGCACUCCGGCACCGAAGCAUCGUGCGCUCGCCACUGUGGCCUCCCUCGUCGCGUGGUCCCUCUGGCGGCACCGGAACGCCGUCAUCUUCGACAAGAUUGCACCCUCCCUGCCAUCGCUUAUAGCAGCAAUCAAGGAUGAAGCUCGCUCUUGGGCCUUGGCUCGAGCUAGAGGAAUGAACCUAGGUCCUGGUGUAACCUGA
This 258-nucleotide ribosomal RNA is filed under the name Triticum aestivum (bread wheat). Its description in RNAcentral is "partial small subunit ribosomal RNA". Lineage: Eukaryota; Viridiplantae; Streptophyta; Magnoliopsida; Poales; Poaceae. The record is from RNAcentral.